Molecule: ribosomal RNA, 395 nt
Filed under: uncultured bacterium
Lineage: Bacteria
Description: bacterial SSU rRNA
Rfam family: Bacterial small subunit ribosomal RNA
Source: RNAcentral
AUUGAACGCUGGCGGCAUGCCUUACACAUGCAAGUCGAACGGCAGCGGACCUUCGGGUGCCGGCGAGUGGCGAACGGGUGAGUAAUAUAUCGGAACGUACCUUUCAGUGGGGGAUAACGUAGCGAAAGUUACGCUAAUACCGCAUAUUCUGUGAGCAGGAAAGCAGGGGAUCGUAAGACCUUGCGCUGAUUGAGCGGCCGAUAUCAGAUUAGCUAGUUGGUGAGGUAAAGGCUCACCAAGGCGACGAUCUGUAGCGGGUCUGAGAGGAUGAUCCGCCACACUGGAACUGAGACACGGUCCAGACUCCUACGGGAGGCAGCAGUGGGGAAUUUUGGACAAUGGGCGCAAGCCUGAUCCAGCCAUGCCGCGUGAGUGAAGAAGGCCUCGGUUGUAAG